GGGGGUGUGGCUCAGUUGGUAGAGCGAUGCGUUCGCAACGCAUAGGUCAGGGGUUCGAUCCCCCUCAUCUCCACCA
Molecule: transfer RNA, 76 nt
Filed under: Clostridiales bacterium
Lineage: Bacteria; Bacillati; Bacillota; Clostridia; Eubacteriales
Description: tRNA-Ala
Rfam family: tRNA
About the family: Transfer RNA (tRNA) molecules are approximately 80 nucleotides in length. Their secondary structure includes four short double-helical elements and three loops (D, anti-codon, and T loops).
Source: RNAcentral